CUGACACAGGUGGCUGCAUGGCUGUCGUCAGCUCGUGUCGUGAGAUGUUGGGUUAAGUCCGUAACGAGCGCAACCCUUGUCCUUAGUUACCAGCACGUUAUGGUGGGCACUCUAAGGAGACUGCCGGUGACAAACCGGAGGAAGGUGGGGGAGUGACGUCAAGUCAUCAUGGCCCUUACGGCCUGGGCUACACACGUGCUACAAUGGUCGGUACAAAGGGUUGCCAAGCCGCGAGGUGGAGCUAAUCCCAUAAAACCGAUCGUAGUCCGGAUCGCAGUCUGCAACUCGACUGCGUGAAGUCGGAAUCGCUAGUAAUCGUGAAUCAGAAUGUCACGGUGAAUACGUUCCCGGGCCUU
Molecule: ribosomal RNA, 356 nt
Filed under: uncultured Pseudomonas sp.
Lineage: Bacteria; Pseudomonadati; Pseudomonadota; Gammaproteobacteria; Pseudomonadales; Pseudomonadaceae
Description: bacterial SSU rRNA
Rfam family: Bacterial small subunit ribosomal RNA
Source: RNAcentral